Molecule: ribosomal RNA, 791 nt
Filed under: uncultured bacterium
Lineage: Bacteria
Description: bacterial SSU rRNA
Rfam family: Bacterial small subunit ribosomal RNA
Source: RNAcentral
AAGUGCGCACGGGUGAGUAACGCGUGGAUAAUCUGCUGAUGCUCUGGGAUAACAUCUCGAAAGGGGUGCUAAUACUGGAUAAGCCCAGGGGGUCUUCGGACCUUGCGGGAAAAGAGGGGGACUUUCGGGCCUCUUGACAUCAGAUGAGUCCGCGUCCCAUUAGCUAGUUGGUGGGGUAAAGGCCUACCAAGGCGACGAUGGGUAGCUGGUCUGAGAGGAUGAUCAGCCACACUGGAACUGAGACACGGUCCAGACUCCUACGGGAGGCAGCAGUGGGGAAUUUUGCGCAAUGGGGGAAACCCUGACGCAGCAACGCCGCGUGAGUGAUGAAGGCCUUCGGGUCGUAAAGCUCUGUCAGAGGGAAAGAAAUGUGGGCAGCUAAUAUCUGUUCCACUUGACGGUACCCUCAGAGGAAGCACCGGCUAACUCCGUGCCAGCAGCCGCGGUAAUACGGAGGGUGCGAGCGUUGUUCGGAAUUAUUGGGCGUAAAGCGCGUGUAGGCGGUUUGCUCAGUCUGAUGUGAAAGCCCUGGGCUCAACCUGGGAAGUGCAUUGGAUACUGGCAGACUUGAGUACGGGAGAGGGUAGUGGAAAUUCCCAGGGUGGGAGUGAAAUCCGUAGAUAUUGGGAGGAACACCGGUGGCGAAGGCGGCUGCCUGGACCGAUACUGACGCUGAGACGCGAAAGCGUGGGGAGCAAACAGGAUUAGAUAUCCUGGUAGUCCACGCCGUAAACGAUGAGUACUAGGUGUUGCGGGUAUUGACCCCUGCAGUGCCGUAGCUAACGCAUUAA